This 498-nucleotide long non-coding RNA is filed under the name Monodelphis domestica (gray short-tailed opossum). RNAcentral describes it as "lncRNA (ENSMODG00000032536.2)". The record is from RNAcentral. Lineage: Eukaryota; Metazoa; Chordata; Mammalia; Didelphimorphia; Didelphidae.
CAGGGACCCUGCUGCCCGCACAUUGUACUAAUAUUAGUUACCUAUCAGCAGCCCUCCCCUUAUGAGGGGCGAUGGAUUUACCCUGUUGCCUGGAGACCAGACUCAAACAGAGACCCAGAGAGAGCACCGGGCGCUGGCUCCAGAGGGGUUAAGAACGAGUCCUGGAGCAGAUAACUCCUGGAAUGGAUAAUGGAGCCGAGUAAUCCCAGGAAAGUGAAGCCUCAGCUCGAGCUGGGGGGAGAUGACAGGAAGAAGGCAGCGUCUGUGGACCCCCUCCCCAGAUUUGGAGCUGUGGAAGCAGAAACAAGAGAAGAUACACAGACCCACAAGACUCCUGAGUCUUGGUCUCAAGGAAAUUAAGAGAGGAAGGAGAAAAAUGAAGAGGGUGAAGCUGAUAAAAAAGAGGGCAAGUUGGCGGAUGACUAAACAUUUUUAAGGAUGAACAGAAUGAAAGGUGAGAGAAAAGAAUAAACAGGGUGGAGAGAGAUAUAGAUUGCA